RNAcentral lists this ribosomal RNA (587 nucleotides) under uncultured Actinomycetes bacterium. RNAcentral describes it as "bacterial SSU rRNA". It matches the Rfam family "Bacterial small subunit ribosomal RNA", at positions 224 to 823 of the family's 1533-position model. The record is from RNAcentral. Lineage: Bacteria; Bacillati; Actinomycetota; Actinomycetes.
GAUGGACUCGCGGCCUAUCAGCUUGUUGGUGANGUNAUGGCUUACCAAGGCGACGACGGGUAGCCGGCCUGAGAGGGUGACCGGCCACACUGGGACUGAGACACGGCCCAGACCCCUACGGGAGGCAGCAGUGGGGAAUAUUGCACAAUGGGCGAAAGCCUGAUGCAGCGACGCCGCGUGAGGGAUGACGGCCUUCGGGUUGUAAACCUCUUUCAGUAGGGAAGAAGCGAAAGUGACGGUACCUGCAGAAGAAGCGCCGGCUAACUACGUGCCAGCAGCCGCGGUAAUACGUAGGGCGCAAGCGUUAUCCGGAAUUAUUGGGCGUAAAGAGCUCGUAGGCGGUUUGUCGCGUCUGCCGUGAAAGUCCGGGGCUCAACUCCGGAUCUGCGGUGGGUACGGGCAGACUAGAGUGAUGUAGGGGAGACUGGAAUUCCUGGUGUAGCGGUGAAAUGCGCAGAUAUCAGGAGGAACACCGAUGGCGAAGGCAGGUCUCUGGGCAUUAACUGACGCUGAGGAGCGAAAGCAUGGGGAGCGAACAGGAUUAGAUACCCUGGUAGUCCAUGCCGUAAACGUUGGGCACUAGGUGU